This 57-nucleotide transfer RNA is filed under the name Aristolochia kwangsiensis. RNAcentral's name for it is "tRNA-His". It matches the Rfam family "tRNA", at positions 8 to 61 of the family's 71-position model. From Rfam's summary of the family: Transfer RNA (tRNA) molecules are approximately 80 nucleotides in length. Their secondary structure includes four short double-helical elements and three loops (D, anti-codon, and T loops). Further hydrogen bonds mediate the characteristic L-shaped molecular structure. tRNAs have two regions of fundamental functional importance: the anti-codon, which is responsible for specific mRNA codon recognition, and the 3' end, to which the tRNAs corresponding amino acid is attached (by aminoacyl-tRNA synthetases). tRNAs cope with the degeneracy of the genetic code in two manners: having more than one tRNA (with a specific anti-codon) for a particular amino acid; and 'wobble' base-pairing, i.e. permitting non-standard base-pairing at the 3rd anti-codon position. Lineage: Eukaryota; Viridiplantae; Streptophyta; Magnoliopsida; Piperales; Aristolochiaceae. The record is from RNAcentral.
UAGCCAAGUGGAUCAAGGCAGUGGAUUGUGAAUCCACCAUGCGCGGGUUCAAUUCCC